This 253-nucleotide ribosomal RNA is filed under the name uncultured bacterium. RNAcentral's name for it is "partial 16S ribosomal RNA". It matches the Rfam family "Bacterial small subunit ribosomal RNA", at positions 524 to 776 of the family's 1533-position model. The record is from RNAcentral.
UACGGAGGGUGCAAGCGUUAUCCGGAUUCACUGGGUUUAAAGGGUGCGUAGGUGGGUCUGUAAGUCAGUGGUGAAAGCCCCGAGCUCAACUUGGGAACUGCCAUUGAUACUGCUGAUCUUGAGUAUGGUUGAGGUGGGCGGAAUGUUGCGUGUAGCGGUGAAAUGCUUAGAUAUGCAACAGAACACCGAUUGCGAAGGCAGCUCACUAAACCAUUACUGACACUGAGGCACGAAAGCGUGGGGAGCAAACAGG